GAUGAUUUAGUUAAGCGUGAUGACAAUAAGAAAUGGAAAGAAGAAUAUGAUGCAAUCAGGGCUAAAUAUGUUGAUUUAGUCAAGCGUGAUGACAAAAAGAAAUGGAAAGAAGAAUAUGAUACACUCAGGGCUAAAUAUGAUGAUUUAGUCAAGCGUGAU
Long non-coding RNA from Erpetoichthys calabaricus (reedfish), 159 nucleotides. RefSeq lists it as uncharacterized. NCBI's taxonomy places the organism in Eukaryota, Metazoa, Chordata, Cladistia, Polypteriformes, Polypteridae. The record is from RefSeq and is a predicted model, not a curated record. The transcript has 5 exons.